GGUUAAGCGACUAAGCGUACACGGUGGAUGCCCUGGCAGUCAGAGGCGAUGAAGGACGUGCUAAUCUGCGAUAAGCGUCGGUAAGGUGAUAUGAACCGUUAUAACCGGCGAUUUCCGAAUGGGGAAACCCAGUGUGAUUCGUCACACUAUCAUUAACUGAAUCCAUAGGUUAAUGAGGCGAACCGGGGGAACUGAAACAUCUAAGUACCCCGAGGAAAAGAAAUCAACCGAGAUUCCCCCAGUAGCGGCGAGCGAACGGGGAGCAGCCCAGAGCCUGAAUCAGUGUGUGUGUUAGUGGAAGCGUCUGGAAAGGCGCGCGAUACAGGGUGACAGCCCCGUACACAAAAAUGCACAUACUGUGAGCUCGAUGAGUAGGGCGGGACACGUGGUAUCCUGUCUGAAUAUGGGGGGACCAUCCUCCAAGGCUAAAUACUCCUGACUGACCGAUAGUGAACCAGUACCGUGAGGGAAAGGCGAAAAGAACCCCGGCGAGGGGAGUGAAAAAGAACCUGAAACCGUGUACGUACAAGCAGUGGGAGCCUCUUUAUGGGGUGACUGCGUACCUUUUGUAUAAUGGGUCAGCGACUUAUAUUCUGUAGCAAGGUUAACCGAAUAGGGGAGCCGAAGGGAAACCGAGUCUUAACUGGGCGUUAAGUUGCAGGGUAUAGACCCGAAACCCGGUGAUCUAGCCAUGGGCAGGUUGAAGGUUGGGUAACACUAACUGGAGGACCGAACCGACUAAUGUUGAAAAAUUAGCGGAUGACUUGUGGCUGGGGGUGAAAGGCCAAUCAAACCGGGAGAUAGCUGGUUCUCCCCGAAAGCUAUUUAGGUAGCGCCUCGUGAAUUCAUCUCCGGGGGUAGAGCACUGUUUCGGCAAGGGGGUCAUCCCGACUUACCAACCCGAUGCAAACUGCGAAUACCGGAGAAUGUUAUCACGGGAGACACACGGCGGGUGCUAACGUCCGUCGUGAAGAGGGAAACAACCCAGACCGCCAGCUAAGGUCCCAAAGUCAUGGUUAAGUGGGAAACGAUGUGGGAAGGCCCAGACAGCCAGGAUGUUGGCUUAGAAGCAGCCAUCAUUUAAAGAAAGCGUAAUAGCUCACUGGUCGAGUCGGCCUGCGCGGAAGAUGUAACGGGGCUAAACCAUGCACCGAAGCUGCGGCAGCGACGCUUAUGCGUUGUUGGGUAGGGGAGC
RNAcentral lists this ribosomal RNA (1195 nucleotides) under Escherichia coli. RNAcentral's name for it is "partial 23S ribosomal RNA". It matches the Rfam family "Bacterial large subunit ribosomal RNA", at positions 1 to 1237 of the family's 2925-position model. Lineage: Bacteria; Pseudomonadati; Pseudomonadota; Gammaproteobacteria; Enterobacterales; Enterobacteriaceae. The record is from RNAcentral.